CAUAAAAGGAAAUGGAAUGUCUUGGAUUAUGGCGGCCUGCCCAGAACUGCUCUCCUGCAGUUAUGGAUGAAAGGCUUAGUAAACAGACAAACAGCUAAUGACGGACUGGUCUAUUAAAAAGGUUGCUUGCUAUAACUGAAGUCGGAGUCAGACACUGACCCACAACCCUGAAAAAGAGACAUUGUACAGGCAAGCUGGUGCCAGCAGAACAACGUACAAGACCAGGGGUCUACUGUUGCAACAAAAAUUAUGUUGUGUGUUUUA
Gopherus evgoodei (Goodes thornscrub tortoise) is the source of this 264-nucleotide long non-coding RNA. RefSeq lists it as uncharacterized. The record is from RefSeq and is a predicted model, not a curated record. The transcript has 2 exons. NCBI's taxonomy places the organism in Eukaryota, Metazoa, Chordata, Testudines, Testudinidae.